RNAcentral lists this unclassified non-coding RNA (338 nucleotides) under soil metagenome. RNAcentral describes it as "partial contains 5.8S ribosomal RNA, internal transcribed spacer 2, and large subunit ribosomal RNA". The stretch from base 1 to 120 matches the Rfam family "5.8S ribosomal RNA", at positions 35 to 154 of the family's 154-position model. The record is from RNAcentral.
GAUGAAGAACGUAGCGAAAUGCGAUAAGUAGUGUGAAUUGCAGAAUUCAGUGAAUCAUCGAAUCUUUGAACGCACAUUGCGCCCUUUGGUAUUCCUUUGGGCACGCCUCUUCGAGCGUCAUUUACCCCCUCAAGCUUAGCUUGGUGAUGGGCGUCUUGUCCCGCCUCUCGCGCGUGGACUCGCCUCAAAAGCAUUGGCGGCCGCUACACUGGCUUCGAGCGCAGCAAAACGCGCCUUCGAGGCAGUGGAUCGGCUCCCAGAAGCCCCCUUUUAUCAAGUCUUGACCUCGGAUCAGGUGAGAAUACCCGCUGAACUUAAGCAUAUCAAUAAGCGGAGGA